CAGUGGCGAACGGGUGAGUAACACGUGGGCAAUCUGCCCUGCACUCUGGGACAAGCCCUGGAAACGGGGUCUAAUACCGGAUAUUACCUUCCCCUGCAUGGGGGUUGGUGGAAAGCUCCGGCGGUGCAGGAUGAGCCCGCGGCCUAUCAGCUUGUUGGUGGGGUAAUGGCCUACCAAGGCGACGACGGGUAGCCGGCCUGAGAGGGCGACCGGCCACACUGGGACUGAGACACGGCCCAGACUCCUACGGGAGGCAGCAGUGGGGAAUAUUGCACAAUGGGCGAAAGCCUGAUGCAGCGACGCCGCGUGAGGGAUGACGGCCUUCGGGUUGUAAACCUCUUUCAGCAGGGAAGAAGCGAAAGUGACGGUACCUGCAGAAGAAGCACCGGCUAACUACGUGCCAGCAGCCGCGGUAAUACGUAGGGUGCGAGCGUUGUCCGGAAUUAUUGGGCGUAAAGAGCUCGUAGGCGGCCUGUUGCGUCGGUUGUGAAAGCCCGGGGCUUAACCCCGGGUCUGCAGUCGAUACGGGCAGGCUAGAGUUCGGUAGGGGAGAUCG
RNAcentral lists this ribosomal RNA (556 nucleotides) under Streptomyces sp. 303H04. RNAcentral describes it as "bacterial SSU rRNA". It matches the Rfam family "Bacterial small subunit ribosomal RNA", at positions 93 to 663 of the family's 1533-position model. Lineage: Bacteria; Bacillati; Actinomycetota; Actinomycetes; Kitasatosporales; Streptomycetaceae. The record is from RNAcentral.